RNAcentral lists this ribosomal RNA (497 nucleotides) under uncultured bacterium. RNAcentral describes it as "partial 16S ribosomal RNA". It matches the Rfam family "Bacterial small subunit ribosomal RNA", at positions 28 to 507 of the family's 1533-position model. The record is from RNAcentral.
GAUGAACGCUGGCGGCGUGCCUAAUACAUGCAAGUCGAGCGAACAGACGAGGAGCUUGCUCCUCUGACGUUAGCGGCGGACGGGUGAGUAACACGUGGAUAACCUACCUAUAAGACUGGGAUAACUUCGGGAAACCGGAGCUAAUACCGGAUAAUAUAUUGAACCGCAUGGCUCAAUAGUGAAAGACGGUUUUGCUGUCACUUAUAGAUGGAUCCGCGCCGCAUUAGCUAGUUGGUAAGGUAACGGCUUACCAAGGCAACGAUGCGUAGCCGACCUGAGAGGGUGGUCGGCCACCCUGGAACUGAGACACGGUCCAGACUCCUACGGGAGGCAGCAGUAGGGAAUCUUCCGCAAUGGGCGAAAGCCUGACGGAGCAACGCCGCGUGAGUGAUGAAGGUCUUCGGAUCGUAAAACUCUGUUAUUAGUGAAGAACAAAUGUGUAAGUAACUAUGCACGUCUUGACGGUACCUAAUCAGAAAGCCACGGCUAACUACGUG